GUUUCAUGGAUGUCAACAUUGUAUCGGAUUGGGAAUCGAAGUUCACAUCUACAUUUCAGAAAGCCUUUCGGAAGGCACUUGGUACAAAGAUCAUAUGAGUACAUCUUAUCACCCGUUGACAUAUUGUCAGUUAGAGAGGACUAUUGAGGACUUAAAUGAUAUGUUCAGAGAUUGCGUGGGAUGGAAUUUCGGAAAGCAUCUACCUUUACCAGAGUUUGCCUACAUCGACAAUUAUCUUUCGAGUAAAAAAAAAAAAAAAAAAAAAAAAAAAAAAAAAAAAAAAAAAAAAAAAAAAAAAAAAAAAAAAAAAAAAAAAAAAAAAAAAAAAAAAAAAAAAAAAAAAAAAAAAAAAAAAAAAAAAAAAAAAAAAAAAAAAAAAAAAAAAAAAAAAAAAAAAAAAAAAAAAAAAAAAAAAAAAAAAAAAAAAAAAAAAAAAAAAAAAAAAAAAAAAAAAAAAAAAAAAAAAAAAAAAAAAAAAAAAAAAAAUUACUAUACAAGGGUUAUUUAUGGUAGACCUUAUAGUAUACCACUUUGUUGGACCAAAGUGGGGGAGCGACAUGAGUUAAAAGUAUUAAUGGUUCAAAAGACGGCUGAGCAAAUGGAAAUGCUCAAUGAUGGGCUUUCGGAAUCCCAUGACGUCAGAAGAUUUAUGCAGCUAAGCGCCAUAAAUAUUUGGAGCUACAUAUGGGCGACUUAAUAUACCUGAAAAUAAGGACAUUUCAAGAGGGGCCUAAGACUCAGAAGAUAAAGGAGCUUAAACCGAGACACAUGGAAUUGUAUCCUGCACUGGAGUGGAUUGGAUUAUUUGCUUGCAGUUACUUUAUCAGCAGUAUAUCAGCCUUCUAGUACUUGGUUCAUAUGACAGCAUUGCAAAAGUUGAGAAGGCGCUAUAACUAUUUUGCAGUAGACAUCAAGUGAGUUCAUAAAGAUUUUAUGAACCUUAUCAUCUAUUGGAGAUUUUGGAUCAUCAAGAGAAAACAGUUCGGGGAAUGUCGACUGUGUUUGUCCGAGUUCAUUGGGAGGGAGAUAAGACCCAGGAGGAGACCUGAAAGGUCGAGCGAAGAUUAGUAUUCGAGGUUUUGCUAUGAUGACAUUGGGCACGUUAGCUUAUGACAUGAAUUCGGGGACGAAUUCCUUAUAAGUGGAGGAGAAUUGUAAUGACCCACCACUCCCACCAUCUCCACUUCUUUCUCCAACCCCACCACUUCCAACUUCUUCUCCACCAUCUCCACCUUCUUCCCCACCACCUCCAUCUUCUUUAAAAUUAAGAAAAAGAGAGAGAGAGAGAGAGAGAGAGAGAGAGAGAGAGAAAGAGAGAGAGAAGAAGAAGAAGAAGGGAGAAAGCUCACCUGAGCUCGUCGCCGGAGCCACCACACGCCAGGACGUCGUAAAGCUCGUCACCACCAUCAUCCGCAACCAAAGGUAACCGGAAACCGCCAUAUUUUUGAGUUUAGUUUCGGCCGUUUUGGUAAAUCGACCAUAACUUCUUAACCGUUGCGAAUCUCGUGCAUCCAAGCCCAUCAUCGUGUUCCUCUCGUCGAGACGAAGCCGUAGACACCAAGCACGCCUCAAACGGAGCCCGGACGCAGCCGUACGCGCCUCCAGAAAACCGCCCUUCGCGCGCGCGUGAAACGCACGCGCCGCCGCCGGAAAUCGUCGCCACCGCAGCUCCGCCGCCGGACCACCGUCCGCCGCCGCAGCUCCGCCGUCGCCGCCGGCCAACUUUCCGGUAAGCCGCCGCCGCAGCUCCGCCGUCGCCGCCGGUGACCGACACCGGUGACUCACCGGCGACUCGGUCAACUCGGCCGAGUCAACUCAGUGAGUCAACUCGGUUGACUCGGUUAACCGGUUGGUUAGCCGGUUUAAAUUGAUUUUGGUUCGGUUAGGGUAAACCGGUCGGUUUAGUCAAAUCGAUUUCCGGGUUGACUUUGACCGGGUUGACUUUGACCAGCGGGUUGACUUUUUUCGAAAACCUUGACCAGUUCCGUUUUCGACCGUUCGAAAGGCGUUCUGACUCAGAAUUUCGAUCUGAUUUCAGAUAUGGAGUCUAUUUGAGCAGCUGGAGUUCAUAGACAACACUUUUCUAUUGCUAAGGUGAGGGUCUAUUCCCGAACUCCUCUUAUUCGGCUUAGGACCUCGAAUAAGUAUAAUUUAUUUCUAAUGUGUUCCGUCUGUGUGAAAUCGAGUCUAUCAUUGCUUGUUUAGUUUUAGGUUCUUUGCAUAAACCGGAACUAGGGGGUUAGAGGAUUCAACAUUGAUUGUUUCACUUAAUGUAAAUUCUUAGCUAGGAUUGUUUUUGUUUGGAGACGGAUACAGAGUCGGACUGCUGUAUGCCGGAUUGUAUGGAGGUCACAGCCAACUUUAGUCGACCGGUUGAGCUGUAGACUGGAAGUGUCGAUAAAUCGUCUACGGGCGUGUGUUACCGAGCACUUUUUCGGUGUGUGUAUGAACCGAGCACCUUUUCGGUAGUGUUUUGGCCUGUUAGUGGGCGGCGAGUGUGCACCUCGCUAGGACCAUUGUUUGUUGCUUGAGUACUUUAGGUACUGUGUUUGACAUGCAUUAGAAUUAAAUUAUAUUUAUUCGGAGUGCUAUGUCCGGGUCCAUGGACUUCGGGGUAGCAUCCCAUACCUCACUGAGCGAUUCCCCUGUCGCUCACCCCUCACUCUUCCCCCUUUCAGGUGAGACAAACAAGUAUGUGAUAUUUGGACGGACUUGGUGCUACUGGACUUUUCUUUCGGAUUUUAUUUGGGCAUGGGUGAGAGUUGUCGGGUUUAUGGGCUUUUAUAUUACAGGAUAUUGUUGGUGGCCCGUCGUCCUUAGUGUCAGGGAGACGGGUAUCACAUUGUUGUAUGAUGACGCGUCGGGGGUGACACGCUGUCCUCCAUAUAGGAGGUGACGGGUGUCACAGAUAAUUUCUUCAUCCUAACUCCUAUGUGAUUUAUUCAACUUAUUUGGUAUCAGAGCGGGUUCCAUCCCGGUUCCGUCCGGGAUGGCGGUCAGGGGAUUCGGUUUUCAUCGGUUUUCAACUUUAAAAAAAAAAAAACUAUAUAUUUAUUUAUACAUUUCGAAAUUCUUUUAGCACCAUUCUGUCCUGUAAUUACUAACUCAAAUGUCUCUUUCUAUGACGAUGAGUAAAAUCAUCGUCAUUCGUCCUUCGACUAAUAAGGUUCUCGACAGAUGUUCAGCAGUUGCGUGAAGUCCAAGUUCGUCAGUUUUCUCGGGAGUUAUCAGUUUCUUCGGACAUGAUUUCGAGGCUAUCCAGGAGUGGAUAUAUGACGUUUCUGCCACCAGCCCACUUCAAGCAAUCGUUCCACGAGUUUUGUUACUGGAGAUUUUGUGGUGUGUGAUAUGAGCCAUUGGUUGGCAUGUGUUGUUGUGUGUACGAGUAUAUUGACUAUUUUGGAGAUAUAUUUGUUUUGUGAACUCGUGGAGAUCGCUUUUGAAUUGGGGUGCAGCAGCUUGCGUUGUGUGGGUGUUGGAGUUACACUUUGGUAUGUUUACCAAUUUUGGCAGUGUUGAUCGUUUCAGAGAUGUGUCAGUUUGGACAACUGACAUAGGACAUUGGGAGCUGUUUAUAUCCAUCGCAGGGUACCAGUUAUGCUUGGAGGGCCGAUUUGUUCGGAUAUUCAUCAGAGAUGGAGCUACGUUUUUACGAUGUUAUCCUUGGGACGGAUUGAUUGUCACGGCAUCAAGUAGUGUUGGAUUGCCUGAUGGCAAGAGUUCCGAUUGCUGGAGCAGAUGGAAGUUGUUAGUGCAUGCAUGCUACAUACUGAGGAGUUAUGGGAUACAAGGACAUAGAGAUUUUUGACUACCAUCUCGAUGGUUAAGGCUGAUGGACAACAUGAGCUGCAGGAUCUUCCGGUUAUUGCAGAGUAUGAGGACAUAUUUGUGACCUUUGGAACGGUCAUCACAUGACACAUGAGAAACUCUUGCGAUUUGUUUGGAGCAAACAACACCAGUUUCACAAGUUUUAUACCGAUUAGCACCAACAGAGAUGACAAAGCUGAAAGAGCAUGUUGAAGAUUCAUCAGACAAGGGUUUUAUCAGACCGGGUACUUUACCGUGGGGAACAUCAUCAUUGUUGUUGUAAAGAAGAAAGGUGGGAGUUUCAAUUUUGUAUCGACUGCAAAGGUCUGAACAAAGUGACCAUUAAAGAUAAGUAUCGCUUCCGCGCGUUGAUGAAUUAUUGGAUUAUUACAGGAAGUUUAUAGUUCUUGAAGGUUGACUUGGCAUCAGAACACCAUCAGAUUACUAUAUUUGAAGAGUAUCUACUGAAUGUGAAUUUUUGUAUACAUUAUGGAUAUUAUGGGACGCAGUGAUACCAUUUGGCUCGACAAAGGCACUGUUGCAUUCAUGAAGAUAUGAAUGACGUUUUCAUGAACAUUUGGAUAGGUGUGCGAUUGUAUUCAUCGAUGACAUCCUGAUUUAUUUUGGAGAAGAAAGGAGAUUUGUGAGCAUUUCGCGGAUUGCGUUGGAUAAGCCUGGAGAGCAUCAGUUGUUCGCUAAGUUGAGGAAGUGUAGCUUCUGGCAGAGGAAUGUUGUAUUUUUGGCUGACAUGGUUUUGGAAGCAGAAUUUUGAUGGAUCAAAAGAAGAUUAAUACCGUUUCGGGGAGGUCGAAACCUAAGAGCGCUACAAAGAUCUGCCGUUCUUUUUGGGUUAAUAGUGUUCUACUGGAAGUUCAUCAAGGGUUUCACCGGUAUAGUAAUGUUAAAGACGUGGUCUGCAUGUAAAGACGUAAAGUGUGGCUGGAUAGAUUUUUGUUCAAGGAGUUUCACUGAAUUGAAGCACAACUAAUGAAGACACCAGUUUUGGGUUCUACUGAGGCUGAGGCUUACUGUGAUGUGUCAGAUACUGGAUUGGAUUUAAAUUAAGGUAUGAGGAUUAAGUCAUUCAUAUGCAUCACGCCAGAGAGGCUGUAGUGGUAUUUGCGUUAUCGUUUUGGAAAUCGUAAUUGUACGGGAAGGAAAUUCAGAUUCUCUGGGAUUAUUAGAAUGUGAAAUUUAUCUUCAUUUAUUAAAAACUUGUACUUGGACAGUGCAGUUGGAUUGAGUUUGUAGCAGGCUAUAGUCUGGAUAUCGCAUACUAUCUGGUAAGGACAACCAGGUGAUAAAUGCCUUGGGUAGGCGUAUGAGCUGUAUCUCAGGAACCAAGAAGGUUCAUGAGUUGGAGAUUUGCUAGUCUCAGGUUGGGUGUCAUUACUAUCAAUGGAGAGACAGAUGUCCUUGGGACUUUGGAGCAGGCAGUUUUGCUAUGGAGGAUACACAAGCACAAGUUAGCAUUCUGGAUUGGUUGAACAGAUCGAGAUUGGGAGUAUUGGAUAUCAUACAGCUUUGAGCAGGAUAUACUUGUACUGAAACCGAGUUUGUGUGUUGGACGAUAAGUUGUUAAGAAAAGGAAUCUUACAACAAACAUAUCACUCGUGUUUCUCUACCCAUCGGGAAGACCAAAGGGUACAAAGAUAUGAAGAGUUAACUAUAAUUGGUGUAGUAUGAAGAUGUUUGUAACUACAUUACGUCGCGGUGCCAGACAUGUUAUAUGGCAAUAACAGAGGAUCAGUCAUCUAUCAUGUUAUUUUUGAGCUUGCUUUUGCUGGAGUAGAAAUGAGGCAUGGUGAUUAUGGACAUUGUUAUUGGAUUUUAAAUCACCAUAUGUGGAAAGGAUGCCACAUGGGUAGUCAUGGAUAGACUUACCAAGUCAGCCCAUUACCUAAGUAAUUAAGAAGAUAAUCAGGGCUAAUCAAUUGGAGCAGACCUACAUUAUUGAGUUCAGGAAGUUUCAUGGAUGUCAACAUUGUAUCGGAUUGGGAAUCGAAGUUCACAUCUACAUUUCAGAAAGCCUUUCGGAAGGCACUUGGUACAAAGAUCAUAUGAGUACAUCUUAUCACCCGUUGACAUAUUGUCAGUUAGAGAGGACUAUUGAGGACUUAAAUGAUAUGUUCAGAGAUUGCGUGGGAUGGAAUUUCGGAAAGCAUCUACCUUUACCAGAGUUUGCCUACAUCGACAAUUAUCUUUCGAGUAAAAAAAAAAAAAAAAAAAAAAAAAAAAAAAAAAAA
RNAcentral lists this long non-coding RNA (6053 nucleotides) under Brassica napus (rape). RNAcentral describes it as "long non-coding RNA (BNAP_LNC026280)". Lineage: Eukaryota; Viridiplantae; Streptophyta; Magnoliopsida; Brassicales; Brassicaceae. The record is from RNAcentral.